Molecule: unclassified non-coding RNA, 240 nt
Filed under: Hevea brasiliensis (rubber tree)
Lineage: Eukaryota; Viridiplantae; Streptophyta; Magnoliopsida; Malpighiales; Euphorbiaceae
Source: RNAcentral
UCACUGUCACUUGGCUAUUCUUAUUGGAGUGCAGAUCAUAUAUUAAAGCAGAUUCUGCCAUCUGGCCUUGAUGUACCAUCAUCAUUUGAGACAAUAGGUCACAUUGCUCAUUUGAAUAUAACUGAUGAUCUUCUUCCUUACAAGGAUGUGAUUGCCAAAGUUAUUUAUGAUAAAAACUACCCCAGGAUCCAGACAGUCGUAAAUAAAGUUGGAACCAUUACCAAUGAAUUUCGUGUGCCG